RNAcentral lists this ribosomal RNA (331 nucleotides) under uncultured eukaryote. Its description in RNAcentral is "partial 18S ribosomal RNA". It matches the Rfam family "Eukaryotic small subunit ribosomal RNA", at positions 1470 to 1796 of the family's 1831-position model. The record is from RNAcentral.
CCCUUAGAUGUUCUGGGCCGCACGCGCGCUACACUGUUCGACGCAGCGAGUCUUAACCUUGACCGAAAGGUUUGGGUAAUCUUCAGCAAAGUCGAACGUGAUGGGGAUCGAUCAUUGCAAUUAUUGAUCGUGAACGAUGAAUUCCUAGUAAGUGCAAGUCAUCAGCUUGCGCUGAUUACGUCCCUGCCCUUUGUACACACCGCCCGUCGCUACUACCGAUUGAAUGGUUUAGUGAGAUCUCUGGAUUGACGCUGGCUAGGGGGCGACCCUUGGCCAGGCUGUCGAGAAACUGCUCAAACUUGAUCAUUUAGAGGAAGUAAAAGUCGUAACA